GGCCUGAGAGGGUGACCGGCCACACUGGGACUGAGACACGGCCCAGACUCCUACGGGAGGCAGCAGUGGGGAAUAUUGCACAAUGGGCGAAAGCCUGAUGCAGCGACGCCGCGUGAGGGAUGACGGCCUUCGGGUUGUAAACCUCUUUCAGCGGGGACGAAGGGCAACUGACGGUACCCGCAGAAGAAGCACCGGCUAACUACGUGCCAGCAGCCGCGGUAAUACGUAGGGUGCGAGCGUUGUCCGGAAUUAUUGGGCGUAAAGAGCUCGUAGGCGGUUUGUUGCGUCGGCUGUGAAAACUUCACGCUUAACGUGGAGCCUGCAGUCGAUACGGGCAGACUUGAGUUCGGCAGGGGAGACUGGAAUUCCUGGUGUAGCGGUGAAAUGCGCAGAUAUCAGGAGGAACACCGGUGGCGAAGGCGGGUCUCUGGGCCGAUACUGACGCUGAGGAGCGAAAGCGUGGGGAGCGAACAGGAUUAGAUACCCUGGUAGUCCACGCCGUAAACGGUGGGUGCUAGGUGUGGGGGACUUCCACGUCCUCCGUGCCGCAGCUAACGCAUUAAGCACCCCGCCU
Molecule: ribosomal RNA, 574 nt
Filed under: Saccharothrix texasensis
Lineage: Bacteria; Bacillati; Actinomycetota; Actinomycetes; Pseudonocardiales; Pseudonocardiaceae
Also listed under: 1 other name
Description: bacterial SSU rRNA
Rfam family: Bacterial small subunit ribosomal RNA
Source: RNAcentral